CCUACGGGAGGCAGCAGUGGGGAAUUUUGCGCAAUGGGGGAAACCCUGACGCAGCAACGCCGCGUGGAGGAUGAAGUCCCUUGGGACGUAAACUCCUUUCGACCGGGAAGAUACUGACGGUACCGGAUGAAGAAGCACCGGCUAACUCUGUGCCAGCAGCCGCGGUAAU
Molecule: ribosomal RNA, 169 nt
Filed under: uncultured bacterium
Lineage: Bacteria
Description: partial 16S rRNA
Rfam family: Bacterial small subunit ribosomal RNA
Source: RNAcentral